GUUCAUUACGUUCGAAGUUCUCAAAAAGGAAGCAUCGCCACCAUGUACCCGCAACCUCCGCCGAAGACCACGCUAUCAUGAUAUAUUAAUUCAUUAAAGAAAUAUAUGGAAUCUGCAAAUACUGGCAUCAAUACAAACUGGACGAUUGAAUAAAUCGAACAAAAAUGGAGACCAAAAACUCAUGCAAAGAAAAAAGGUUUCCAAUUGAUACAAAUGAAAGAAUACUCUCAAGUUUGUGGAGCGUCAAUUCUACAGUCAACUGCUAAUGAGCAUAGAACUCAAAUUUACUCCAAGCACUGAUGUAUUCAAGUCAAUUUAAUGAGCUUCUGUACACCAGCAAAUACGUUAACUCAUUAAAAAAAUAUAUGAAAUUAGCAAAUACUGGCAUCAAUACAAACUGGACGAUUAAAUAAAUCGCUAAAAAUUGGAGAUCAAAACUUCAUUCAUAGAAAGAUUAUUCCAAUUGACACAAAUAAAAAUAAAUAAAAGAGUACUGUCAAAUUUAUGGAGAUUCAAUUUACAGUUAAUUGCCAAUAACUACAGAUUACUCGAGAUUUCAAAAUAUUUUUAAACAGAAGAAUACUCUACUGCGCACUUUGAAUGCCAGAAUAAAUCUUGUCAUUAUUAAUGAACUAAUUCCAUAAAUAAAUAUAAAAUACAUAUCCAAAUAUCAAAUA
Long non-coding RNA from Microplitis demolitor, 677 nucleotides. RefSeq lists it as uncharacterized. NCBI's taxonomy places the organism in Eukaryota, Metazoa, Arthropoda, Insecta, Hymenoptera, Braconidae. The transcript has 9 exons. The record is from RefSeq and is a predicted model, not a curated record.